AUUGAACGCUGGCGGCAUGCCUUACACAUGCAGGUCGAACGGUAACAGGUCUUCGGAUGCUGACGAGUGGCGAACGGGUGAGUAAUACAUCGGAACGUGCCUAGUAGUGGGGGAUAACUACUCGAAAGAGUGGCUAAUACCGCAUGAGAUCUACGGAUGAAAGCAGGGGAUCGCAAGACCUUGUGCUACUCGAGCGGCCGAUGGCCGAUUAGGUAGUUGGUGGGAUAAAAGCUUACCAAGCCGACGAUCUGUAGCUGGUCUGAGAGGACGAUCAGCCACACUGGGACUGAGACACGGCCCAGACUCCUACGGGAGGCAGCAGUGGGGAAUUUUGGACAAUGGGCGAAAGCCUGAUCCAGCAAUGCCGCGUGCAGGAUGAAGGCCUUCGGGUUGUAAACUGCUUUUGUACGGAACGAAAAGCUCUGGGUUAAUACCCUGGGGUCAUGACGGUACCGUAAGAAUAAGCACCGGCUAACUACGUGCCAGCCGCCGCCGUAA
RNAcentral lists this ribosomal RNA (498 nucleotides) under uncultured bacterium. RNAcentral's name for it is "partial 16S ribosomal RNA". It matches the Rfam family "Bacterial small subunit ribosomal RNA", at positions 30 to 523 of the family's 1533-position model. The record is from RNAcentral.